Long non-coding RNA from Equus caballus (horse), 3110 nucleotides. The record is from Ensembl. Lineage: Eukaryota; Metazoa; Chordata; Mammalia; Perissodactyla; Equidae.
GUCCUCUCUGAUCUCAGAAUACUACUGUAGCUAGCUCACCCUCAGAUAAUGGUACACACUGGUAAAACCUGAAUACACAUAUUUAUAAAAUGGGGAAGUAAAUGUAAUUCUAUCUUUUAUAUUUGGUGACACCAACAUUUCCAUUAAAGACUGUAUAGUAUCAUAAAUUUAUUAGUAUUAAAUAGGCAACUUGAAAUAAAAAGAUAAAGCAUGUUUUCUAACAAUUACACCAAAGUCAGGUGGUACCAUUUUGUACAAUGGCAAUAACGGCAUGGUUCUUGGAGAUUUUCAGUGAAUCAGGAUUUUUUUUCUGAUACCACAUUAUGAGUAAGCCUUAUAGUCAGGCUCUGGAAGGCUAUUGGAAUAGGUAAUUAAAUGCAGUCUGUGCACUGACUGGCACAGAAGGUGAAGAGAGAAGAAGUCAUACUGGCUGGUGAUGUUCUCUGUUGCUGUGACAAGAUUUGAGAAACUGGAUGAAACCAAACCCAGUGAGUUCCCAAUCCAGAGCUGCCCACUUUCACAGUCACAGGUAUAUAUGAAUGGUUCUUGCUUGCUUCAUGCUGGGGAAUGUCCACUGACGUUGCCUGCAAACUUCUGGCCACUUGGAAAACCAUAGCCUCUUCAUCACUGCUAAAGUCAGUGCUGGAGCAGCUGAAGCCUCUCAGACAUGUGUGACCCUGUUCCACACCCAGCACUACCCUUUAUUUCUCUCAUUCAAAUACAGUCUUUGCCUUAAGGAAGCAACAAGAGUAUGCCUAUGACCAAAGCCUAGAAAAUACUGAAAAUAAAGAUUGUAUUCAGUUGUAGGAUGAUAGCUGAUUUUUAUUCCAUUUUAUAAAAUGUAUUUCAUGAUGUUAUAAUAUUAUUUUCCUAAUGAAACCAUCAAGUGCUUUGUGAUUUCUAGGUUUGCCCCAAGGUGGCAGAGAAAUAUCCACAUGUCCAUCACUUCUGUGAAAUGCUAUUUGGAAUUCCAUGUCCAGUCACCCUGUUAACACUGUAACGCAGCACAGCACCACUUGCUAAGGAUCUCUAAACGCUCUAUGUGUGAUCAUUGCAUGAGUGGUCAAUUUCUUGUGCUAGGGUGACAGGGUAAGGAAAAACACCCACACUGGUGAAUUGCUGACGAAGGUCAGACCUUCACCUCAGCCAAGCGCAGUACUUAAAUAGUAUGUCUUCAGGGCCUCUCCCUUUAUACUUCUUCCAUGCUUUUUUGGUAGGACCUCAAAAUGAUACAUUUCAAAGUCUCCCUUUCCCAUCAAAACAUUGUCACAUUUUCUUAGGGCUCUAGUCAUUGCAAAGGGUUAAUAGGUAGUAAUGGAUUAAUUUCAGAAGUUGAUCCCUUGCACUAUCUACACAGUGUUGUAACUCAAGUAAAACACCUUUCACUACUAUUUAGUCUCUUUAGGAGACAGGGGUUGGUCAGUUGUAUCAAAAUAUUUCAUAUCACACUUGUAACAUAGCUGCUCACUAUAAUUCUGCUUAAGGGUAAACUUACUCAAGAACAUCAAUAUCAUUUCUCAUCAAAUGAUCAGAGAAACUUCCUUGUCCUUCAUCCUCCUCUUCGUUUACAGCAUCCCUAAAUAAUGAUUCCAACAGCUAAAGGCAAUAGGCCCGAGAGGAUUUUGGGAAUUUAGACAACCUCCUUCCUACUACAGCCAAACUAUCUUUUCCAGUUCUGCAACAAAUAUGGAGUUUGCUAAACUGAACUUCUCUGAGCAUCAGUUCUCUUAAGCAAAAAAGAGUUAUUGUGAUGAUUAGAAAUAAUGUAUGCAAAGUAGCUAAUUACAGACCUGGCUUUCAGUAGGCAAUCAAUAAAUUGUAACUAUUUUUAUUUUGCUUAUAAGCUAGAUUUUCUUACUGGGGUGGUACGUACUAUAGAAAACUAGCAGAGUCUAGACAAGGAAAAAAUAUACAAAAUUAAUUAAAGCCACAACCAGAUCCUCAGAAAAUGUUUGCAAACCUGUUCUAAGAUGCAUGUGGCACCAGUGACUGUAGGAUAUAUGACUUCUUUGGGCGCUGGACUAGGAUUAGGCAAGUGAGGCACCUAGAGUGCAAAAUUUAAGGAGGCAUUCACUUUCAGGGGAAAACCCUGGACUCAGAUAACCCUGGGAGUGGGUGCUUCCUUAAAUCUGAUACCCUGGACACUUCACUGCCUCAGCCUAGUCCAGGCCCUGUCUGACUUCUGCCUCCUUUCAGAGGGCAUAGGAGAGAGUGUGGUCUACUGUGUGGAGUGGCAUGGGGAGCCAGAGCAGCCACCAAGAGAACACCCUGGCCUCAGAUAUUAGUGCUCUGGGGUCACAGGAAAAAGAGGAGCUAGGGAACAAUUAGGGGAGAGAUAGACUACAAAUCAAGUUGGCCCACUGCUAUUUUAGAGCUCUUUUAGUAAUGCAUAACAGAGUGCUCUCAGCAAAUUAAAGUUGGCAUCUCAAAUGACUAAUUUGAUGGGAAUAACAGAGCAAUCAAUAUGUGAGUAGCCCUAUACACACCCGCUACUAAACACUGAGAAGUGUACAGUGUUUGUGAGCGACCACACAUUGAAUGACCCCUUUUAUUUUUCCUUAUUUUCCAUGGCAUUGCUUAUUGAUCUGAACCUGGUGCUCUGUGUAAUUCAUUCAUUCAUCUAACAAACAGGUGUCUGGCACAGAGCUAGCUUCUGAAGGUACAAAGAAGAAUGAGGCAGGGUCCCUUCACUUGAGGAGCAGACUGCCUAGCAAGGGUGGAAUGCAGGGCCAUGGUGUCAGGGAAGGGGAAAGAAUGGGGAAGCGCUCACCAAACGUCAAAGCUCUGAACAUUGGCACUUCAGUCUAAGAAAGAACCAAAUCAAUGCUGUUUGAAACCAUUAGGUAGGUCUAUUAGGUUCCAUUUGAGAUCAGCUAAAUAAAACAACCACUGGAAACAACUGAAAAAAGGCUCUACCUUUCAUGUCGCCAAAGGAAAGCGUCCCAAGACCAGUGACCUCACCAGCCCAUUUACUGUAACCAUAGCUUCUCAGGGAAAGGAGGCUGGCUUGGGCUCCUGUGGUUUUGGACUUGUGUCUUUUGGCUGGUGCCAAAGGCAGGAGCAUCUGGGCUUUCUUAUCAGGGGAAUGGGAAGUGGUGAGACUUGAAACC